Eurytemora carolleeae is the source of this 505-nucleotide long non-coding RNA. RefSeq lists it as uncharacterized. The transcript has 5 exons. Lineage: Eukaryota; Metazoa; Arthropoda; Copepoda; Calanoida; Temoridae. The record is from RefSeq and is a predicted model, not a curated record.
UAGGUCCUGGAGAAUCCAGAUUCUUCAAUUUGAGUGUGAUAGCACUGAUCUAGCUCCAGAGGGUUGUCUUCAGUACUACUCAGGUAUUUCUGGAAAUAUCUCCAGUUUUAACUGGAAGACCACUCCUAAUACAAACGAUGUUAGUUACUCAAACCAUUUGGCAAAUCAGGAUUACAGUGUUUGUGUGAGACGAGAGAGUGGAUACUGUGGAAUAGAAUGGUCUGUACCUACAACCCCUAGCUCCCAGGUUGGAUAUUUCUCAUUAACGGGUUCAGCUCCUGCUACUACUCUCACUUCUACAGAUGUACAGCUGGGGGAUGCGGAGUGUCAGACUGACUAUGUGUCCAUACCACGUGGUACCGGUGGGACUGUUGCAGCUGCGCUGUCAAAAGACCGGUUUUGCGGCCAAGCGCUAGGUUACUGCAAUGAUGACACAUGUGCUACCAGAGCAAUAGGACCAGUUAGGAAAGACAAAUAUAUUUUACUUAAUUAAAGGGAAUGUAGA